AUUGAACGCUGGCGGCAGGCCUAACACAUGCAAGUCGAGCGGAUGAAGGGAGCUUGCUCCUGGAUUCAGCGGCGGACGGGUGAGUAAUGCCUAGGAAUCUGCCUGGUAGUGGGGGAUAACGUCCGUAAACGGGCGCUAAUACCGCAUACGUCCUGAGGGAGAAAGUGGGGGAUCUUCGGACCUCACGCUAUCAGAUGAGCCUAGGUCGGAUUAGCUAGUUGGUGGGGUAAAGGCCUACCAAGGCGACGAUCCGUAACUGGUCUGAGAGGAUGAUCAGUCACACUGGAACUGAGACACGGUCCAGACUCCUACGGGAGGCAGCAAUGGGGAAUAUUGGACAAUGGGCGAAAGCCUGAUCCAGCCAUGCCGCGUGUGUGAAGAAGGUCUUCGGAUUGUAAAGCACUUUAAGUUGGGAGGAAGGGCAGUAAGUUAAUACCUUGCUGUUUUGACGUUACCAACAGAAUAAGCACCGGCUAACUUCGUG
This 484-nucleotide ribosomal RNA is filed under the name uncultured bacterium. Its description in RNAcentral is "partial 16S ribosomal RNA". It matches the Rfam family "Bacterial small subunit ribosomal RNA", at positions 30 to 507 of the family's 1533-position model. The record is from RNAcentral.